Non-coding RNA from Marasmius sp. AFHP31, 92 nucleotides. Lineage: Eukaryota; Fungi; Basidiomycota; Agaricomycetes; Agaricales; Marasmiaceae. The record is from the annotation of a GenBank genome assembly.
CCGACCAUAGCUCAGUUGGAAGAGCACGAGACUGUAAUAGGUUGCUGGGGAGUAUGAUCUUGGGGUCGCCUGUUCGAACCAGGCUGGUCGGA